RNAcentral lists this transfer RNA (74 nucleotides) under Actinomycetes bacterium. RNAcentral's name for it is "tRNA-Arg". It matches the Rfam family "tRNA". From Rfam's summary of the family: Transfer RNA (tRNA) molecules are approximately 80 nucleotides in length. Their secondary structure includes four short double-helical elements and three loops (D, anti-codon, and T loops). Further hydrogen bonds mediate the characteristic L-shaped molecular structure. tRNAs have two regions of fundamental functional importance: the anti-codon, which is responsible for specific mRNA codon recognition, and the 3' end, to which the tRNAs corresponding amino acid is attached (by aminoacyl-tRNA synthetases). tRNAs cope with the degeneracy of the genetic code in two manners: having more than one tRNA (with a specific anti-codon) for a particular amino acid; and 'wobble' base-pairing, i.e. permitting non-standard base-pairing at the 3rd anti-codon position. The record is from RNAcentral. RNAcentral also lists the same sequence under 1 other name. Lineage: Bacteria; Bacillati; Actinomycetota; Actinomycetes.
GCCCUUGUAGCUCAGCUGGACAGAGCAGCGGACUUCUAAUCCGACGGUCGGAGGUUCGAGUCCUCCCUGGGGCG